GGUUAAGCGACUAAGCGUACACGGUGGAUGCCCUGGCAGUCAGAGGCGAUGAAGGACGUGCUAAUCUGCGAAAAGCGUCGGUAAGGUGAUAUGAACCGUUAUAACCGGCGAUGUCCGAAUGGGGAAACCCAGUGCAAUUCGUUGCACUAUCGUUAACUGAAUACAUAGGUUAACGAGGCGAACCGGGGGAACUGAAACAUCUAAGUACCCCGAGGAAAAGAAAUCAACCGAGAUUCCCCCAGUAGCGGCGAGCGAACGGGGAGCAGCCCAGAGUCUGAAUCAGCUUGUGUGUUAGUGGAACGGUCUGGAAAGUCCGACGGUACAGGGUGAUAGUCCCGUACACCAAAAUGCACAGGCUGUGAACUCGAAGAGUAGGGCGGGACACGUGGUAUCCUGUCUGAAUAUGGGGGGACCAUCCUCCAAGGCUAAAUACUCCUGACUGACCGAUAGUGAACCAGUACCGUGAGGGAAAGGCGAAAAGAACCCCGGCGAGGGGAGUGAAAAAGAACCUGAAACCGUGUACGUACAAGCAGUGGGAGCACCUUCGGGUGUGACUGCGUACCUUUUGUAUAAUGGGUCAGCGACUUAUAUUCUGUAGCAAGGUUAACCGUAUAGGGGAGCCGCAGGGAAACCGAGUCUUAACUGGGCGUUAAGUUGCAGGGUAUAGACCCGAAACCCGGUGAUCUAGCCAUGGGCAGGUUGAAGGUUGGGUAACACUAACUGGAGGACCGAACCGACUAAUGUUGAAAAAUUAGCGGAUGACUUGUGGCUGGGGGUGAAAGGCCAAUCAAACCGGGAGAUAGCUGGUUCUCCCCGAAAGCUAUUUAGGUAGCGCCUCGUGAACUCAUCUUCGGGGGUAGAGCACUGUUUCGGCUAGGGGGUCAUCCCGACUUACCAACCCGAUGCAAACUACGAAUACCGAAGAAUGUUAUCACGGGAGACACACGGCGGGUGCUAACGUCCGUCGUGAAGAGGGAAACAACCCAGACCGCCAGCUAAGGUCCCAAAGUCAUGGUUAAGUGGGAAACGAUGUGGGAAGGCACAGACAGCCAGGAUGUUGGCUUAGAAGCAGCCAUCAUUUAAAGAAAGCGUAAUAGCUCACUGGUCGAGUCGGCCUGCGCGGAAGAUGUAACGGGGCUAAACCAUGCACCGAAGCUGCGGCAGCGACACGAUGUGUUGUUGGGUAGGGGAGCGUUCUGUAAGCCUGCGAAGGUGACCUGUGAGGGUUGCUGGAGGUAUCAGAAGUGCGAAUGCUGACAUAAGUAACGAUAAAGCGGGUGAAAAGCCCGCUCGCCGGAAGACCAAGGGUUCCUGUCCAACGUUAAUCGGGGCAGGGUGAGUCGACCCCUAAGGCGAGGCCGAAAGGCGUAGUCGAUGGGAAACAGGUUAAUAUUCCUGUACUUGGUGUUACUGCGAAGGGGGGACGGAGAAGGCUAUGUUAGCCGGGCGACGGUUGUCCCGGUUUAAGCAUGUAGGCUGGUUAUCCAGGCAAAUCCGGAUAAUCAAGGCUGAGGUGUGAUGACGAGGCACUACGGUGCUGAAGUAACAAAUGCCCUGCUUCCAGGAAAAGCCUCUAAGCAUCAGGUAACAUCAAAUCGUACCCCAAACCGACACAGGUGGUCAGGUAGAGAAUACCAAGGCGCUUGAGAGAACUCGGGUGAAGGAACUAGGCAAAAUGGUGCCGUAACUUCGGGAGAAGGCACGCUGGUGUGUAGGUGAAGUCCCUGCGGAUGGAGCUGAGACCAGUCGAAGAUACCAGCUGGCUGCAACUGUUUAUUAAAAACACAGCACUGUGCAAACACGAAAGUGGACGUAUACGGUGUGACGCCUGCCCGGUGCCGGAAGGUUAAUUGAUGGGGUUAUCCGUAAGGAGAAGCUCUUGAUCGAAGCCCCGGUAAACGGCGGCCGUAACUAUAACGGUCCUAAGGUAGCGAAAUUCCUUGUCGGGUAAGUUCCGACCUGCACGAAUGGCGUAAUGAUGGCCAGGCUGUCUCCACCCGAGACUCAGUGAAAUUGAACUCGCUGUGAAGAUGCAGUGUACCCGCGGCAAGACGGAAAGACCCCGUGAACCUUUACUAUAGCUUGACACUGAACAUUGAGCCUUGAUGUGUAGGAUAGGUGGGAGGCUUUGAAGCGUGGACGCCAGUCUGCGUGGAGCCAACCUUGAAAUACCACCCUUUAAUGUUUGAUGUUCUAACGUUGGCCCCUUAUCGGGGUUGCGGACAGUGUCUGGUGGGUAGUUUGACUGGGGCGGUCUCCUCCCAAAGCGUAACGGAGGAGCACGAAGGUUAGCUAAUCCUGGUCGGACAUCAGGAGGUUAGUGCAAUGGCAUAAGCUAGCUUGACUGCGAGCGUGACGGCGCGAGCAGGUGCGAAAGCAGGUCAUAGUGAUCCGGUGGUUCUGAAUGGAAGGGCCAUCGCUCAACGGAUAAAAGGUACUCCGGGGAUAACAGGCUGAUACCGCCCAAGAGUUCAUAUCGACGGCGGUGUUUGGCACCUCGAUGUCGGCUCAUCACAUCCUGGGGCUGAAGUAGGUCCCAAGGGUAUGGCUGUUCGCCAUUUAAAGUGGUACGCGAGCUGGGUUUAGAACGUCGUGAGACAGUUCGGUCCCUAUCUGCCGUGGGCGCUGGAGAAUUGAGGGGGGCUGCUCCUAGUACGAGAGGACCGGAGUGGACGCAUCACUGGUGUUCGGGUUGUCAUGCCAAUGGCACUGCCCGGUAGCUAAAUGCGGAAGAGAUAAGUGCUGAAAGCAUCUAAGCACGAAACUUGCCCCGAGAUGAGUUCUCCCUGAGACUUUAAGUCUCCUGAAGGAACGUUAAAGACGAUGACGUUGAUAGGCCGGGUGUGUAAGCGCAGCGAUGCGUUGAGCUAACCGGUACUAAUGAACCGUGAGGCUUAACCUU
This 2902-nucleotide ribosomal RNA is filed under the name Klebsiella quasipneumoniae. Its description in RNAcentral is "23S ribosomal RNA". It matches the Rfam family "Bacterial large subunit ribosomal RNA". The record is from RNAcentral. Lineage: Bacteria; Pseudomonadati; Pseudomonadota; Gammaproteobacteria; Enterobacterales; Enterobacteriaceae.